UGAUGAUUUGCAAACUGCUGGCAACUUUUGCUUGAUACCUGUCCUUAACUAGAGUGUGAUGACUUUGUUUACUUGGUCAGUUGGAGUUUUAGCUGCUUUAUAAUUAGCUUACCUCUGGUCAGAAACAGAAACUACUUCUCUUAAGACAUGAUUGCCUAACAUUAUGUUUGAUUCUGCAUGGCAAAACUUCUUGGUGGGGGUUGAUUCUCUGAAUAGCUAUGUUACACGGAUACUCCAAGGGAGGUGACGUAUCCGUAUCCGAUACUCGUCGGAUACGCGGAUACGGAUACUCGGAUACACCAUUUUAGUGGAUUUUCUUUUGAGAAAGUGUGUAUCCGCGUAUCCGAUACGUAUUGUAUCGGAUACUCGUAUCCGUACUCGUGUAACGUAGCUGAAUAGUAUGUUCCCAAAUUUCCAAUGCCUGAUGGAUAUUUAUGGGUAGCCAUGGAACUACACAAAUAUAGGUUCAUAUGGCCUGCAUUUUUACCUCUCUGCAUGAAACAUUGGGCAUGAGUUGAAAAAAAAAUAAAACUUGCAAGUUUUGAUUCCAAUUUGAAGAGACAUGUACUUUAUGAUUUGAAGAGGCAUAUAUGUAGAAACUAUAGAGCUAGCUGAGGUCAUUUCAGGUUUUAAGGCAUUCAAAUGUGUUAGAUUUCUUAAAGAAUACAUUUUACACCCCCUGUUUAGUAUAUUAUUUGUAGAUUUCAAUGAAAUCCUAUUUCCUGCUAGAACUACAGAGAUCAUUAUUUUUUCUGCUAUAACACUAUUUUUUAUGGGUCAACAAUAAGAACUAUGCUCGAGUGUAAGCCAAAACGUUUUAUAAUUUGGAAUGGACAGCGAGCUGAGGUACACGAUAUAAACUGACUCAAAUACUCUAUCGAUAAGGCAAAGCUUUGACUUUAUAUAGAAAUGACACAACAGUGACAAAUGGAAAAUGACUAAAAUGUAUCUCAAUGCGAGUAAUUAAUGUAAGCAAGUGUCAGAUCUUGCUUAUUGAACAAACUGUUAUUAUACUUUUGAGCUUAUUCUCAGACAAGCAUGUGGCAAACAAGACAUCAUUAACCCAUUUCAAACGUGAAAAGAUUCAUUGGUCGAUUUGCUCCAGCAUGCGGCACACAGGGUGGGCAACACAGCAACAUCUUUAGAUGGACUCAUCAGUCAUCAAACGCGAGCCAAGCUCCAAACGCGACAAGACUCGACGGCUUUGGUGAGCAGCUCGGUGACGUGGUGAAGAAGCUGGACAAGGUGAUGCAGAAGCUGGACAGCAUGGCUCCAAAGCCUAACUGAUAGCUAACUAGCUAUGGCAGCAAGGACUUCUGGUGAUAUAGCUAACGCAGGGGAUGACUUUUGGAUGUUGUGGCUUUUGGGGACUCUAUGGCAGCAGGGACAAUUCAAACUAGUGGUGAUGUGUGCAUCUGGUGAUGAUGAUGGGUAUUAUGGACACCAAACUAUGCCAGUGAUGAUGUUGUGAUGUAUAUAUUAUGAUAUGUAUGGAAACCUAGCUAAAUGCAUGGUUGUGGCUAUAUGCAUCUAUCUUUAUGAUAUCUCUUUUA
Long non-coding RNA from Sorghum bicolor (sorghum), 1553 nucleotides. RefSeq lists it as uncharacterized. The record is from RefSeq and is a predicted model, not a curated record. Lineage: Eukaryota; Viridiplantae; Streptophyta; Magnoliopsida; Poales; Poaceae. The transcript is spliced from 2 exons.